Non-coding RNA from Drosophila virilis, 3016 nucleotides. The record is from RefSeq and is a predicted model, not a curated record. Lineage: Eukaryota; Metazoa; Arthropoda; Insecta; Diptera; Drosophilidae.
AGCUAAAAUGCAAGAAUUUUGCAACGUCGUGGCAAAUUAUUUCAUUAUCUUAUAUUACUUGUCCCUUCAAAAGGAAAGAAAGCCACCGACUUUUGAGAAAGCUCGACUUUAUGGGAAUUUUUUCUUGUGCGGACAAAUACACACACAGACAGUACAACGUUAAAUACACAAAUUUAUAGAGCACUGAGAGUAAGCCUAAGAAGUUUCCUGCAAUGCGAGGGAAUAAAAAAAAGCAGCGAUGCCGUUCUAUGAACCCGAACAAAAUCGAAGGCGACUUUGGACCAGCCGCACAGAAAACGAGAGGCCCCAUCGCCGAUUGUCCAGUCUAUACGUAUGUUGUUUGGUUAGGUAUUCAAUUCAAUGCUGUAUGUAUGUUGUGAGUGAAGCCAUGCAGCUCUCUACAACUACAACUACAACUUACAACAAUGUCAUUCAGAGUUGUACAACUGAUUUGUUUAUUUUUGAUAGAGUUAUUGCAGGUGUUAAAUAUUCGAAAUUUAAAUUAUUUAUCUGUUUUUUUUUUCUUUUUGCUAACAUUAUUUUGUACUAAUGUUCGGUGUUUAGACCGUAUGUUCUCUGAAUGCUAUUUAAGAGUCUACCAGCUUUCCUUGAUGAAACUUGUUUUGUUCCCAUGCGCAAAAUGGUAAUUUAUCUGUCUAUGUGGUCCGCAGUAAUCAUUUGUCCAGUGUAUUUCUACUCUUUAUUUAUUUGUUAAUGGUCGACAAAACGAGUGACUUCCUUAUUACCCAAUACAUAAUACCCAAUACAUAAUACACACAAUUAUGAAAAUUAAAGGCUUAUAGCCUAGUUAGAGCAAACAAUUUUCAAGUAGCAUCCCCGACCGGUGAAGGUGUUUUAUUUGCCUGUCCGGCCAGCUAUGCUCCUUUUCACAGCUAAUUUUGUCAGUGACUCUAUUAGAGCGUACAGCUGAGAAGAGGGCUGUUAGUAGAGAAAACAAAGUUCCUAAGUAAAAUUAAAAAUAAUCUUAAUUUACAUUAUUAAUUAAGAAAAUAUAAUAAAUGAGGCAAAAGAAAGAAAGUAGUUAUUAAAAAAGUAAAGAAAUUGAAACAAGGUAUAUAGAAUGUUAGGUAUGGAUAGAGAGAUAGUAAUGGGAAACCACACGGUGGGGGAAAAUUUAUAGCCAAUUUAUGUAGGAAGACAACAUCGAGAAUUGUCCUACGGCUUGUUAACGACGGAAGAUUAAGAAGAAGCAGCCGGCUGCAGUAGGAUGUCAACCGAAGAUUAGGGUCCCAAUUUAAGCCUCAAGUAGUAUUAUUCAAGGAGAGGGCAAGUCAGAGAGAUAAACAGAAGAUUCGUUAUAAAAGGAUCGUUAAGUUAACAGUGUGGGUAUGUGGUCAGAGGUCGAAUAGUCGCUCAGCUUCGAUGUGUGAAUGACAGAAGUGAAGGUCGUCAAUGGUAUUUCGUAACUGUAACUGCCUUACUUAAUCUUGUAUUUUUGGACCACCCUCCUCCUAAUAAAAAAUUUCAUGUCCAGAUCGGCUACAAUAAUAUCUUCUGAUAUGUGUCCACUGAUAUCCUAUUCUAUGAUUUAUUUUUAUCCUGACUUUAUUCCUUGAGUUGUAAUGUUCGGUGACCAAUGUUGUAACGGAAAAAAUCGCUUGUGUGUAACCUUAGUCGCUUUUUUACUUUACCAAGGACCUUUUCAUCAUGCAUACGGACUUGCCAUAUUGGAUAAUGAGCGGAUAGCAGCUAUUUGUUGUUAAAAUCUCCCGUUGGCAGAUGAUUUUGGCUGUGCUGCAGAAUCUUUGGCUUCGAGGCGUACCCUGUAGACUGGACUCAAUAUCGCUCAGCUAAUGGCCAAAGUCAUCGACUGAUGACUUCAACGUCAUACUCAGCUCGGCUGGAAGCCGAUAUCUAGUGGGAGGCAACUGGAAUGCACAUCACUGGCUGUGGGGCGCAAGUAGCAGCAAAUGCGCGCGGCUUUCAACUAGCUUACAGCCUAGCGCAUCGUCAAGCGAGGUACUGGCCACAGGUUCUCCCACAAGAUACCCGUACGUCAGCAGAGGCACUCCGUCUUGCAUAGACUUCGCUAUCUACCAGGGAAUCCCUGACCAGCUUCUUUCAAUCGGUACUGAUAGUUAACCUGGGGAGCAGGGCCAGAGUGGUCGGCGCAAUACCGAGGCUGAUCAACUCACGCACUGAUCUCCAGAGACAGAUGAGUAAUAGUAUAGAUCUGAAUAGUGAAAUUAGCACUGGACUGGAUGUAGAGGACGCCAUUGAUCUGCUUAACGCAAAGAAAUAUCGACUAUAUCGACUAUAUCGACUAGCCGCACACACUAACAGGCUCGCCAGCAACCCUCAAGGUGCCAUUCCAUCAGGAAACUAGAGAAAAUUACUUUGCCCAGAUACUUGCGCACAUAGAUCUCCACAUGGGAACUUUGCAUCAUCACUCCCAAAUUCCUUUUAUACCCUUACUGUUCGGGAGAAUAUAAUUUUUCCUGAAACUUAUUAAAUUUCCCAGAGGAAGAAUUGCAUUUUCAAGAGUCUUUAAUUAGUUUAAUUCUUGUUAUUUUUAUUCCGAAAGCUAACACAAAAAUCCGUCCAUAAAUUUUGGUCUUAAUUGGACACGUGAGUGUUCAAAAAUUCUAAAAUGCUGGUAACCCUUUUAGACUAAGACACCCACUGAACCUGACCGUUCCGGUAACCAUUUAGAUCGCUGCUAAUGUGAAGUCGAAAAUCAUUAUUGCCCAGACAAACAGCGUAUUUCUGGGUUGUAGGCACAUUAUAUACAUGUAAAAAUAAUUAUUCCUAUCUAGCGGAAAGCUGGAGAUCUAGAAUAAAUUAUUUUUUUUUGUUGAGUGCUUGUCGACUUCCGAAAGCUUCUUCGCGUAAGUUCACAUGACUUUCAGCUUUAUGAGAUUGUGCUGCUAAGCUUGCACAAUGGUUCAAGCGCAACAGCUUUCGGCAUCGGAUUUUAUUUAGUAAUUUAAUUGAGCAUCCAAUAAUAUAUUUCUAUAUAAUAAGAUAUAAAGCAUUUACUCGUGAAUAACUAAGU